GGGUUGUGAGGUUAAGCGACUAAGCGUACACGGUGGAUGCCUAGGCAAUCAGAGGCGAUGAAGGACGUGCUAAUCUGCGAUAAGCGUCGGUAAGGUGAUAUGAACCGUUACAACCGACGAUUUCCGAAUGGGGAAACCCAGUGCAAUUCGUUGCACUAUCGUUUGAUGAAUACAUAGUCAAACGAAGCGAACCGGGGGAACUGAAACAUCUCAGUACCCCGAGGAAAAGAAAUCAACCGAGAUUCCCCUAGUAGCGGCGAGCGAACGGGGAGCAGCCCAGAGUCUUAAUCAGCAUUAGCAUCAGGAGAACGGUCUGGAAAGUCCGGCAGUAAAGGGUGAUAGCCCCGUAUCCGAAGGUGUUAGUGUUGUGAACUCGACGAGUAGGGCGGGACACGUGUUAUCCUGUCUGAAUAUGGGGGGACCAUCCUCCAAGGCUAAAUACUCCUGAUUGACCGAUAGUGAACCAGUACCGUGAGGGAAAGGCGAAAAGAACCCCGGCGAGGGGAGUGAAAUAGAACCUGAAACCGUGUACGUACAAGCAGUGGGAGCCUUGAUUUAUCAGGGUGACUGCGUACCUUUUGUAUAAUGGGUCAGCGACUUAUAUUCUGUAGCAAGGUUAACCGUAUAGGGGAGCCGUAGGGAAACCGAGUCUUAACUGGGCGAAUAAGUUGCAGGGUAUAGACCCGAAACCCGGUGAUCUAGCCAUGGGCAGGUUGAAGGUUGGGUAACACUAACUGGAGGACCGAACCGACUAAUGUUGAAAAAUUAGCGGAUGACUUGUGGCUGGGGGUGAAAGGCCAAUCAAACCGGGAGAUAGCUGGUUCUCCCCGAAAGCUAUUUAGGUAGCGCCUCGUGAACUCAUCUUCGGGGGUAGAGCACUGUUUCGACUAGGGGGUCAUCCCGACUUACCAACUCGAUGCAAACUACGAAUACCGAAGAAUGUUAUCACGGGAGACACACGGCGGGUGCUAACGUUCGUCGUGAAGAGGGAAACAACCCAGACCGCCAGCUAAGGUCCCAAAGUCAUAGUUAAGUGGGAAACGAAGUGGGAAGGCUCAGACAGCCAGGAUGUUGGCUUAGAAGCAGCCAUCAUUUAAAGAAAGCGUAAUAGCUCACUGGUCGAGUCGGCCUGCGCGGAAGAUGUAACGGGGCUAAACUAUGCACCGAAGCUGCGGCAGCGAUAUGUAAAUAUUGUUGGGUAGGGGAGCGUUCUGUAAGCCUGUGAAGGUGUGCUGUGAGGCAUGCUGGAGGUAUCAGAAGUGCGAAUGCUGACAUAAGUAACGAUAAUGCGGGUGAAAAACCCGCACGCCGGAAGACCAAGGGUUCCUGUCCAACGUUAAUCGGGGCAGGGUGAGUCGACCCCUAAGGCGAGGCAGAAAUGCGUAGUCGAUGGGAAACGGGUUAAUAUUCCCGUACUGGUGAUAAUUGCGAUGGGGGGACGGAGAAGGCUAGGCUAUCCGGGCGACGGUUGUCCCGGUUUAAGGAUGUAGGCAGGUGAAUUAGGCAAAUCCGGUUCACUAUAUGCUGAGGUCCGAUGACGAGUCACUACGGUGAUGAAGUAGCUCAUGCCCCGCUUCCAGGAAAAGCCUCUAAGCUCUAGAUUAUCAUUAAUCGUACCCCAAACCGACACAGGUGGUCAGGUAGAGAAUACUCAGGCGCUUGAGAGAACUCGGGUGAAGGAACUAGGCAAAAUGGUGCCGUAACUUCGGGAGAAGGCACGCUGGCAUUAGGUGAAGUGAUUUACUCAUGGAGCUGAAGCCAGUCGCAGAUACCAGCUGGCUGCAACUGUUUAUUAAAAACACAGCACUGUGCAAACACGAAAGUGGACGUAUACGGUGUGACGCCUGCCCGGUGCUGGAAGGUUAAUUGAUGGGGUUAUCCGUAAGGAGAAGCUCUUGAUCGAAGCCCCAGUAAACGGCGGCCGUAACUAUAACGGUCCUAAGGUAGCGAAAUUCCUUGUCGGGUAAGUUCCGACCUGCACGAAUGGCGUAAUGAUGGCCAGGCUGUCUCCACCCGAGACUCAGUGAAAUUGAACUCGCUGUGAAGAUGCAGUGUACCCGCGGCAAGACGGAAAGACCCCGUGAACCUUUACUAUAGCUUGACACUGAACAUUGAGCCUUGAUGUGUAGGAUAGGUGGGAGGCUUUGAAGUGUGGACGCCAGUCUGCAUGGAGCCAACCUUGAAAUACCACCCUUUAAUGUUUGAUGUUCUAACGUUGCCCCGUUAUCCGGGGUGCGGACAGUGUCUGGUGGGUAGUUUGACUGGGGCGGUCUCCUCCCAAAGAGUAACGGAGGAGCACGAAGGUUGGCUAAGCAUGGUCGGACAUCAUGCGGUUAGUGCAAAGGCAUAAGCCAGCUUGACUGCGAGAGUGACGGCUCGAGCAGGUACGAAAGUAGGUCUUAGUGAUCCGGUGGUUCUGAAUGGAAGGGCCAUCGCUCAACGGAUAAAAGGUACUCCGGGGAUAACAGGCUGAUACCGCCCAAGAGUUCAUAUCGACGGCGGUGUUUGGCACCUCGAUGUCGGCUCAUCACAUCCUGGGGCUGAAGUAGGUCCCAAGGGUACGGCUGUUCGCCGUUUAAAGUGGUACGCGAGCUGGGUUUAGAACGUCGUGAGACAGUUCGGUCCCUAUCUGCCGUGGGCGUUGGAAGAUUGAAAGGGGCUGCUCCUAGUACGAGAGGACCGGAGUGGACGCACCACUGGUGUUCGGGUUGUCAUGCCAAUGGCAUUGCCCGGUAGCUAAGUGCGGAAGAGAUAACCGCUGAAAGCAUCUAAGCGGGAAACUUGCCUUGAGAUGAGUCUUCCCUGACUCUUUAAGAGUCCUAAAGGAACGUUUAAGACUAAGACGUUGAUAGGUUGGGUGUGUAAGCGUAGCGAUACGUUGAGCUAACCAAUACUAAUGAACCGUGAGGCUUAACCUGACAACACCGAAGGUGUUUUAG
Molecule: ribosomal RNA, 2939 nt
Filed under: Providencia rettgeri
Lineage: Bacteria; Pseudomonadati; Pseudomonadota; Gammaproteobacteria; Enterobacterales; Morganellaceae
Description: bacterial LSU rRNA
Rfam family: Bacterial large subunit ribosomal RNA
Source: RNAcentral